GCAGGGGAGGUGGUGGUCAGCGUGGAGCCCGAGGUUCCCAUCCGGAAGAUGGACACGGUGGUGAAGCUGGAAGCUAACUCGGACGCGGUGGUGAAGGUGGACGUGAGCGAGGAGGAGAAGAAGAAAAAGAAGAAGA
Long non-coding RNA from Empidonax traillii (willow flycatcher), 136 nucleotides. RefSeq lists it as uncharacterized. The record is from RefSeq and is a predicted model, not a curated record. NCBI's taxonomy places the organism in Eukaryota, Metazoa, Chordata, Aves, Passeriformes, Tyrannidae. The transcript is spliced from 3 exons.